Molecule: RNA transcript, 3488 nt
Organism: Xenopus laevis (African clawed frog)
Lineage: Eukaryota; Metazoa; Chordata; Amphibia; Anura; Pipidae
Gene: lhx6.L
Gene name: LIM homeobox 6 L homeolog
Exons: 11
Source: RefSeq, a predicted model, not a curated record
GUUUGUGGGAACUGGGGGCGGGUGGGAGGCUUAACCCAAUGAAAAUCAGUUGUAUUAGGAAAUAUCAACCUUAUCCCGUUCGCUACUCGAUGUAACUAAACUCUCGUUUUUCUUUACGCCUCGAACAAACACGAACAUGAUUUCUAUGAAAUUGCCUGGUCCCUUUGUGCCAGUAACGCAGACGACUUGCAGGACUCCCUGAAACACAGACACAUCCCUUUAAUAAAAUGAAUUGCAAUAAUGAGCAAAUGGGAACAUUGGCAGAUAUGACACUGUUAUACCCAAAACUGGUUUCUCCCUUCAUCAGAUAAAUCAGUGGCGUUGCUAAAACGUUCCAGGCUGCAAGAAGAUCCACACGGUGGAAUUGUAAAAGUUGGAACUCAAAGCUCGAGCUUCAGGACAUUUACAGACCUGCCUUCCUUGCGCCAAUGUUCCUUCCCUUCCUGCCUCCAAACUCCAACCAACAGGAAAGUGGAAAGACGCAGCCCAAUUUUUCCAUUUACAGUCCACACAUUCCAGUUGCUGUAGAUAUGGGACUUUUGGAUCUUGUAGCUGCGCAGCGCCUGGGCAUUUGCACCAAGUUCUAAAACCAGCCAGGAUUUGUCCUUUCUUCAAAAUUGGAAACCAAUACUCCAGCUGAUAACAUAGGCAAACCUACUUUCCCAAUGUACUGGAAAAAUGAGAAUCUGGUUCCUCGUGCAGAGGGGAACAAGUUGGAUUCUGUAGGGGUUUCUGGAGGAAAGGUGAUGUCCCAAGAUAAGCAGAUCCCCAGGGGAGCAUCCCGGCGCUUGAAUGUCAAAAGUCCUCACAUGAUGUCUCACUCAGAUGAUGAAAAUAUGCCAUGUAGUUUGGAGAAAGAGGACCACUCUUCACCCAGCCCUCCCUCCACCCCUUCUGUGUGCUCACCCCCAUCCUCCUCAUCCUCAGUCCCAUCAGAUGGAAAGAACAUCUGCUCCAGCUGUGGCUUGGAAAUCCUGGACAGAUAUUUGCUUAAGGUGAAUAAUCUGAUCUGGCAUGUCAGGUGCCUAGAAUGUUCCGUGUGCAGAACCUCCCUGAGACAACACAAUAGCUGCUAUAUCAAAAACAAGGAGAUAUUCUGCAAAAUGGAUUAUUUCAGCCGGUUUGGUACAAAGUGUGCACGUUGUGGCAGACAGAUUUAUGCCAGUGACUGGGUACGGAGAGCCAGGGGAAACGCCUACCACCUUGCCUGCUUUGCUUGCUAUUCAUGUAAAAGACAACUGUCAACAGGGGAAGAGUUUGGCCUAGUGGAAGAAAAAGUUCUUUGUAGGAUCCAUUAUGACACCAUGAUAGAAAACCUCAAGCGGGCAGCAGAAAAUGGUAAUGGGAUUACACUAGAAGGAGCUGUCCCAUCCGAACAAGACAGCCAGCCAAAGCCAGCCAAAAGAGCACGCACAUCCUUCACAGCAGACCAGCUGCAGGUCAUGCAAGCACAAUUUGCUCAGGACAACAAUCCCGAUGCACAAACACUCCAAAAACUUGCAGAUAUGACAGGGCUGAGCAGAAGAGUCAUCCAGGUCUGGUUUCAGAACUGCAGGGCGCGGCAUAAAAAGCACACACCUCAGCACGCAAUGCCUCCUCCUGGCCCUACACCAACACGCAUUUCAUCUUCAUUGUCAGAUGACCUUCACUUCUCCCCUUUCAGCAGUCCUGAAAGAACAAGGAUGGUAACUUUGCAUGGAUACAUAGAAAGUCAAGUACAGUGUGGGCAGAUGCACUGUAGACUUCCCUAUGCUGGGCCUCCUGUGCACCUCAAAGCUGACAUGGAAGCAACAUUGUCUAACAGAGGGGAUAAGGUCAUUCUUUUUCAGUACUAACCAACAAGAUACUGCACCAUCCUCAGCAACUUUAUCCUCUGUACUAUUACUGCAAAGGAUGAAAGGGACUACUACUCAUCUGGUUCAAUUUAGGGAACAGCACUUUGUGCCUUGGCACCGAGUUUCCAUUGGCACAACUCACAAACUGUUUCUCUCAAAUGUGGGAAAUGUCUCAGAUAUGGAAUAAGUGCAGUCAUACAUAUGAACAGCAAAAGAAUGCUUCACUAAAUUUUACUAAAGGCAAAAUGAUAAAUUCUCUGAAGCCUAAAAAGGUCUGGCACAAUCUUUCUUACAAGGUGAUAUUCACUAAGAUGAAAACACAAUGCAAUGCUUAACAGACAUUUCUUUGCAGAAAUAUGGAACCCGAGUCUGCUUCUUGCAGCUUGAGCAUUCAGCCCAGGACUGCUAGAAGACAACCAAUGAACUCUGUUUAACGGUGGCAGAAAGACAGAGAUGGGUUGUGGGAAACACAUCUCUAUAUGAAAUGAAGUUCAUACAUUCAACUUGGUUUUUCUUAUGUAUGGGUAAUCGUAAGCCAAGGAACACGUGCAGUGUGAAUAGCAUGUCAAUAAUAUGCAGUCAUUUUGCCUUGGUACCUGAACUAUUCACGUCAUAUGAACAAAACCAAAACCUCUGAAGUUUAUCAUCAUUAUGCUGUUACUUACAAAAAAAUCCUCAUGUUUCAACACAAAGACUUUCUUAACUGAACAAAUUUAUUUUCAUGAGUUGAUGGUAACAUUUCUUUCUUAACAUCAAUGUACGUAAAUUGACAAAAAACCCAAAUUUAUUAUUUAUUCAUAAAAAAAAAAUGUGUUGGCACUUUUUAAAAGCAAAUGUCUGUUUUUUUAAAUAUUCUUUAAAUGUUGUGCAAUGUAAAUGUCCAAUUUAUGUACUAAAUAAAAUUUACCUAAAUUAAUUUUUUUCCCCACUUAUUCACACAAGACUGCAUCUUAUUCUAAGGCACAGGGCCAGAGCUGAAAAUUGCAUCCGCAAGAUAUAGUUCAAUAAUCAGCACUCCCCAAAAUCCCAAAAAUGAUAAAGAAGCACAUAUUGUAAUGACCAACUGCCUUCACAUGCAAUAUCAGUAGAAUAGUUGAUAGCAUCAUAGACAAUGUUUCAGGCUGCCAUAAGCCUUUAAUCCAGCUACACAUACUAACAAGACACAAUUAUAGUCAGUUACCCUUUAAGUUACUGCUACAUACACAUCAUUAAUCAAUCAUCAUUAAUAAUUUUAAUAAAGGUUAAAAACAGGUUUGUUUCCAAACAGCCCAAAAAAUUUGCCCAUACGGUCUUUUUUUAAAAAUGUUUUUAUUAUCAUUAUUUAAAAAGUUGGAGCUUACUAGAAUUGUACAGAGCUUUGCAAAACUUCUUGCCUUCUCCAUUCGAUCAAGAUCGUUGCGAAAGGGCAAGCAUUCUGCCUGGAACAUUGUAUGGGAUCUUUCCUAAUAAACCUCUCUCCUGCCCCAGCUGUCAAUUCCCUACAGCUAAUUUCUUACAUGUAAUAUGGUCUUGUCCACAAAUUGUAAAAUUUUGGCAGAAAGUUGUUAGAUGUCUCAGUGAUAACCUGGCUUUGCCCCAAGUUAUCUGUCACGGUCGGUACCCAACACCAGAACAAAUGCCAAGCACCCUGGUCUCGGCUCGCGCUUCACCUGU